CUUUCGGUGGCGUAGUGGUCAAGGCAGUUGUCUGGUAAACAGGAGGGCGCAGGUUCGAUCCUACCCGAGACA
This 72-nucleotide transfer RNA is filed under the name Diaphorina citri (Asian citrus psyllid). It matches the Rfam family "tRNA". From Rfam's summary of the family: Transfer RNA (tRNA) molecules are approximately 80 nucleotides in length. Their secondary structure includes four short double-helical elements and three loops (D, anti-codon, and T loops). Lineage: Eukaryota; Metazoa; Arthropoda; Insecta; Hemiptera; Psyllidae. The record is from Rfam by way of RNAcentral.